This 253-nucleotide ribosomal RNA is filed under the name uncultured bacterium. RNAcentral's name for it is "partial 16S ribosomal RNA". It matches the Rfam family "Bacterial small subunit ribosomal RNA", at positions 524 to 776 of the family's 1533-position model. The record is from RNAcentral.
UACAGAGGUCUCAAGCGUUGUUCGGAUUCAUUGGGCGUAAAGGGUGCGUAGGCGGCGAGGUUAGUCGGAUGUGAAAUCCCAGGGCUCAACCCUGGAACUGCAUUCGAUACUGCGGUGCUUGAGGACUGGAGAGGAGACUGGAAUUCACGGUGUAGCAGUGAAAUGCGUAGAUAUCGUGAGGAAGACCAGUGGCGAAGGCGGGUCUCUGGACAGUUCCUGACACUGAGGCACGAAGGCCAGGGGAGCAAACGGG